Molecule: ribosomal RNA, 378 nt
Filed under: uncultured eukaryote
Lineage: Eukaryota
Description: partial 18S ribosomal RNA
Rfam family: Eukaryotic small subunit ribosomal RNA
Source: RNAcentral
CAAUAGCGUAUAUUUAAGUUGUUGCAGUUAAAAAGCUCGUAGUUGGAUUUCGGGUGGGACGCAGCGGUCUCGCAUUGCGUUUGUACUGCUGCAGCCCUCCUUCUUGCCGGGGGCGGCCUCUCGGACUUCACUGUCUGGGGGUCAGAAUCGGCGAUGUUACUUUGAGUAAAUUAGAGUGUUCAAAGCAAGCUUACGCUCUGAAUAUAAUAGCAUGGGAUAACACGACAGGACUCUGGCCUAUCGUGUUGGUCUAUAGGACCAGAGUAAUGAUUAAGAGGGACAGUCGGGGGCAUUCGUAUUCCGUUGUCAGAGGUGAAAUUCUUGGAUUUACGGAAGACGAACAUCUGCGAAAGCAUUUGCCAAGGAUGUUUUCAUUGA